This 324-nucleotide ribosomal RNA is filed under the name uncultured eukaryote. RNAcentral's name for it is "partial 18S ribosomal RNA". It matches the Rfam family "Eukaryotic small subunit ribosomal RNA", at positions 1470 to 1796 of the family's 1831-position model. The record is from RNAcentral.
CCCUUAGAUGUUCUGGGCUGCACGCGCGCUACACUGAAGCGUUCAACGAGUAUUCACCUUGCCCGGGAGGGUUGGGUAAUCUUUUGAAAACGCUUCGUGAUGGGGAUAGAUUAUUGCAAUUAUUAAUCUUCAACGAGGAAUUCCUAGUAGACGUAGUUCAUCAGACUGCAUCGAUUACGUCCCUGCCCUUUGUACACACCGCCCGUCGCUCCUACCGAUUGAAUGCUCAGGUGAGCCAUUCGGACUUUCAUCAUGCUGGUUUCCAGUUUUGAUGAAGGAAAGUCUUGCGAACCUUAUCAUUUAGAGGAAGGAGAAGUCGUAACA